Long non-coding RNA from Oncorhynchus mykiss (rainbow trout), 2152 nucleotides. The record is from Ensembl. NCBI's taxonomy places the organism in Eukaryota, Metazoa, Chordata, Actinopteri, Salmoniformes, Salmonidae.
AUGGAUGUGAUCCCCAUUGUUUUUCCACAUAUAAGCUUUCUUUUUACAGGUCCACUCAAAAGCAUGUGGGAUGAAAAGACAAUUGUCAUCUCACAGCUUCUUCUGACUUCAUUGCUUUUCUCAGUCAUUAUUGAGGUUCAGUUGCCUAUUUCACUUAUGGGAGCGGCAGCUCCGGGCAGUGACAUCACCCUUAGAUGCUCUUUGUCUUCUUCUAAAAACCUGAACCUCAACCACCUGAUUGUCAACUGGCAGCAUGCAGAAUCAGUGGUGGUCCACAGCUAUUACCAUGGAAGAGAUCAGCUGGACAGAGUGUUGUUUACAAAGGAUGGACUCAUCUGUUUGAAGACCAGCUCGCUGUGGGAAAUGUCUCACUUAGACUGAGUGGUGUGCAGCCGAGUGACCAGGGCAAAAACACUUGUGAUGUGACAGAUGAACAGGCUAGCACCCUGGAAAACCUAAUACUUUUAGUGAGAUGUUAGAAAGUAUGUAUUUUUGUCCUUUCAGAUUUUUUAGGAAUCUUGCAUGUAUGGGGGAUAAAUAGACAUAAAAGUAUUAAACUAUCUGCGCAAAAUCAACUUAGUUAUCUACUUGCCUAAAGCCCUUUGCAGUCAGAAUUCUCCUUUGUUAAGAGUUGAAUAUGAGUAUUGUUGUUUCUGUUUACCCCUGGCCCCCUUCAAGAAUCCACAGCUCAGCUGUCUAUACAGUCAUCCUGUGACAGCUUCAUCAUCACCCUCACCUCCUCCCAGGGUUUCCCCCAGCCUGAUGUGUGGUGGACAGACUCCAUUGGAGGAGACAUCUACAAUUAGAGCCACUGCUAAAUCGGUCUGGAAAGCAGGGGGCGCUAUGAGGUCCACAGCUCCAUGGAGGUCAGGCCAAACAGUACACUCACCAUCAUUGCUGAAAUGAGACUGGAGGAUCUCAAUCAAAGCUUCACCCGCUCGCUCACCCUCCACCCACUCCCAGGUAAAGGUGCGACCUACCAACAGGUUUAAGGGUAGAGCAAUGUGACCAAGCAUGGUUCACUGAUUUAGUGAUGAAAUAUUAAACCAUUUCAUAAUCACUAAUGGCUAACCCCUGAAUAGAGAUUACUCUUACACAAAUUCUGCAAUGUAUGAAUUCUAGACAAAAUUUGUAGUCAAACACCCAUCCUAACUAAAUAUGGAUUUGACAUUUCACUUUGAGGGCAAAUGAGUCAUAUGAGCAUUGUGUAUAGAUGUACUGCAUGCAAGAAUAACACCAUUGCAGAGUGCAACUUUCCAUGACAGGAGCUGUUUACAAUGCCCUCAAUGAAAGGUUCAGUGACCAGGCAGUACUACUAGAGGAACAGGUCUUUGGGAUGUGAAGCUGAAAGCCGGUCUCUUUCUCUCUUCUCCUCCUCUUCAACAGAAUGCUGUGAGCUGCCUCUUGCAACCGGGGGCAGACCGGCUUUGGUAUUAUUAGGGAUAGUUCUCUUAGCAGCUUCAGACGUCUGAAACACACCAACACCAGCUGAUCCCACAUGACUAUACAACAGGACAAGAUGAGGCUCAUGAAACAGAGACUUGAUACAUCAUGAACAAAAAUUAGUUAUAAAAGUCUAAGCUUACAGGACUGUUUCAAUGUCACAAAUAUAGGUGUGUGUGUUGCUGCCUUCUGAAAUAUUUCCACUCCCUAUUGGUAAUGUAUUAUAGAGUACUGCUAGCAGUAGACUUUGCUACUCUCUGCAGCCCUAUGUAAUCCAGACUAUUUUGUUUUCUUUGGGGAUGCAGAGCUGUCAUGAAGGUGAAGAGUGGCUGCUUUGAAGAGUCUCAAAUAUACAUUUAGAUUUGUUUAACACUUUUUUUGAUUACGGCAUGAUUUCAUCAAGUGUUAUUUCAUAGUUUUGAUGUCUUCACUAUUAUGCUACAAUGUAGAAAAUAGUACAAAUAAAGAAAAACCUUUGAAUGAGUUGGUGUGUCCAAACAUUUGACUGGUACUGUACAUUUUGUCCAAUGUUACUGUCAAAUGUGGCCUGGUAACAACAACUGGGAAAAGUACUAUCCACCUUACAGUUGGGCUGGUUGUAAAAGUUGAUGCUACAUGACGUUGUGGAUGUAACUGCAACGUCUGGGGCAUAUUACAGAAAUAUUUCACGUUAUUACAUGGUGCUUGGAGUCACUCUGUGAGACAGUUC